Molecule: ribosomal RNA, 402 nt
Filed under: uncultured prokaryote
Description: bacterial SSU rRNA
Rfam family: Bacterial small subunit ribosomal RNA
Source: RNAcentral
UAGGGAAUAUUGGUAAUGGGCGAAAGCCUGAACCAGCAACGCCGCGUGUGCGAAGAAGGCCUUCGGGUUGUAAAGCACUUUUUAAGGGGAUGAGGAAGGACAGUACCCUUAGAAUAAGCCUCGGCUAACUACGUGCCAGCAGCCGCGGUAACACGUAGGAGGCAAGCGUUAUUCGGAUUUACUGGGCGUAAAGCGCGUGCAGGCGGUUUGGUAAGUUGGAUGUGAAAGCUCCCGGCCUAACUGGGAGAGGUCGUUCAAUACUACCAGACUAGAGGAUGGGAGAGGGAGGUGGAAUUCCGGGUGUAGUGGUGAAAUGCGUAGAUAUCCGGAGGAACACCAGUGGCGAAAGCGGCCUCCUGGCCCAUUUCUGACGCUCAGACGCGAAAGCUAGGGUAGCAAACG